Phragmites australis (common reed) is the source of this 851-nucleotide long non-coding RNA. RefSeq lists it as uncharacterized. The transcript has 2 exons. The record is from RefSeq and is a predicted model, not a curated record. Lineage: Eukaryota; Viridiplantae; Streptophyta; Magnoliopsida; Poales; Poaceae.
AUGACCAAUAUUUUGUUCAGACUAGCAUUGACAGCAAUCCAGACACGCCCUUAGCCUCAUGCGCAACCUACACGGUUUUUUUAGAUGGGCACAGCCUACAAAAUUAGGUACGAGAGAAUACAGGAGUCGUUUAAGAGCAGCAUCUACACGUAUCAGAUGGCAGUGUGAUCAAGCAGCCCAAGGCCCAAGUCCAUAUGCACAGCACGCGGACGAAGCCUUUCAUGCCCAUGCGCUGCAGCGCUGAAGCGUCUCGCUCGGGAACGGGCAAUGCUAUUCCACGCGUGGGGAAGCGAUUCAGCAACUUUUCAAAUAGCUUCUCUGACUUUUCGUUUCUAAAUUUUUUUCUCUCCUGUAACUUCUUUUUCUGAAAAAGUUUUCCGGACAAAUUGUCCCACCCCUCUUCUUCUACUUCUACCAUGAACAAGAAGAUGGGCGGCACACUGCAGCAGCAGCAGCUGCUGCUUAAGCUGCUCUUCUUCUGUGUUGUCGCCCCACAGAAGGAUAUCACGGAGACUGUCAACAAGCAUCCAACUGGGAUCAUCUCACAAGGCUAGUUUUCAAGAAGCUGAGAAGAGAAUGAAGAGAAGAAGUACCGCAAGUAUUGGUGAUCCAGUUGGAGCUGAAGCUCAGUAGCAUCACUGAUGAUGCAGACUGCGAGUACUCCCUCUUCGAAGGCAAAAUGUCAAAGCUUAUCAAGAUAGGGCAGUUCAUGGUCGUGUGCAAUGUAGCUAGCUAUUGUUAUGCUUGUCAUCCUGGGUGUAGUGAUGGUUGUAAAGUGAGCUCUUGUUGUAUUGAAUUGUUGCUCGUACAUGAGAACAAAAAUAUAAUUUCAUUGUUUAUGACAUUUGAUA